UAGAAAUAAAACAUGUUAGUAAUAAUGAGGUUACUUGAAAUUGUUUUUGUUUUCAAGUCUAUUUUCUUAUUGAAUUCAAGUAUAUCUAGUUACAUGAUUAAGUAGUUGGGUACACCUAACAUAAUUCGUGAUUAUAUAUUAUUGUGUAGUAUAACAUGACAUACUAUACUAGCUACAUUUAACUAUUUAUUUUGACAAGCCUAAAUACAGAAUAUUAGAAGAGAUACUAUGUAGGUAUAGAUUUUACGAUAUUAAAAUUUUUAUAUUCUUUAGGUGCACAUAUAAUUCUUUUAUAUGGUCAACCUAGAAAAGUAACAAGAGGUAUAGAUUUUACGAUAUUAAACUUUUUAUAUUCUUUAGGUGCACAUAUAAUUCUUUUAUAUGGUCAAUCUAGAAAAGUAACAAGGCUAGUUAUGUAGCAUGUCAAAUCACUUAGCCAAUUUAUUACCAAAAUUGCUUGAUAAAGACCUUUGUGCAAUAAGGAUAUUCAUAUUAGCCAGUAUUGUCUUACCUGUAUUCAGUACACUUUAAGUCAUGCUAAUUAUCUUGAAUAAUUUAAUGAUACAUGUACUAACUAGACAUACAAAUGAUUGUUGUUUUUAUAGAUGCUACAAAUAAUUGAUAAAGCUUUACAAUGAUUUGAGAUUUUACUUAUUUAAGAAAGCAAAUUUGAUUUGCUAAGUUGCAGAUUACUUGUGUACAACUUUC
RNAcentral lists this long non-coding RNA (708 nucleotides) under Nicotiana benthamiana. RNAcentral's name for it is "long non-coding RNA (NBEN_LNC018456)". Lineage: Eukaryota; Viridiplantae; Streptophyta; Magnoliopsida; Solanales; Solanaceae. The record is from RNAcentral.